GGCUUAAUGAUUUUAAUUUUAAGUCAAUCUGCCCAAUGAUUUUAAAUUAAAUGGCUGCAGUAUAAUUGACUGUACAAAGGUAGCAUAAUCAAUUGUUUUUUAAUUAAAAACUGGAAUGAAAGAAUUAAUGAGAUAUAUACUGUCUCAUAUAUAUUUAAUUAACUUAAAUUUUUAGUAAAAAUGCUAAAAUAAAUUUAUGGGACGAUAAGACCCUAUAGAAUUUUAUAUUAAUAUAUAAAUUAAGUUAUUUUAAGUAUUAAUAUUUAAUUGGGAGGAUUAAUAAAUUUAUAAAACUUUAUUUUAAAUAAAAACUUUGAUUAAAGAGUUUAUUAUGAUUAUGUAUUAUGAAUUAUAAGAAUAAAUUACCUUAGGGAUAACAGCGUAAUAUCUUUUUAAAGAUCAAAUUAAUAAAGAUGAUUGCGACCUCGAUGUUGAAUUAAGAUAAAUUUUAAAUGCAGAAGUUUAAUAAUUAAGUCUGUUCGACUUUUAAAAUCUU
RNAcentral lists this ribosomal RNA (496 nucleotides) under Bombus caliginosus. RNAcentral's name for it is "partial 16S ribosomal RNA". The stretch from base 373 to 496 matches the Rfam family "Bacterial large subunit ribosomal RNA", at positions 2473 to 2597 of the family's 2925-position model. Lineage: Eukaryota; Metazoa; Arthropoda; Insecta; Hymenoptera; Apidae. The record is from RNAcentral.